AGAGUAUUUUACAACUAAUACUGGGUUGUAAAGUCUUAGUUGUAAGACUAAGUUAACGCUUUGGAAAACUGAUAUUCUAAUCCAAGUAGAUAAUUCACAAGUCUUAGUAUUGAUAGCAGCUCUUUCCAUGAUUUUCUUUUCCAGUUUACCCUUGCCUGUAAGCUCUCCUAAAGAAUGCUCACCAAUAGGAAGUAUGAUGAUCAUGAUCAACUAAUGAGAAUUAACUUAAUUGUGUUUUAUCUAUUAAUAAUGAGUGAUGACUCAGCCACAGUUACAGUGGCAACUGCUCUGGUGUUUUUCCCUCUCCAGUCAUGAUUAGCAUGUUAAUAACAGUACUAGUUCAUAGUACUGGGAUCAUUAAAUGAAUUGGUACAUUAUAUUAGAGUGAGCACUCAAUAGACAUUAAUAGUUUUACUCUUUUGCUUUUUGCUAUGGCUGCCAUUGCUGUGAUUAGCAGUGUUGGACACCAGCCUGCCUGACUGCCUCACCCUUCUGCUCCCUCUCCAGGAUCCCCUGUACUUCAGCCCAUUGCAGCUAUGAACUUGAAAGCAUGUGGGAUGCUUUCCUCAGGAAGGCUCAGACCUCACUUUACCAUUUCGGUACCAGAGACUCUGGGGUCUGGAGUUCUGUCUUGUCCAGCAAGAAAGUGGGAUGCAGGAUUAAAAAUGAGAGAGAGGCUGAUGUCCGGGAGAAGACAAGUGCCCCAAGUAAGGUCCGUGUUCCAUUUUUUAUUAGGAUCAGAAGGCUUACAAAUGUGGUGAUGUGUGUGCACAUAUAGACAAUGAAAUUGUGAACAUUAACUCAUGGGCAUGAGGGAAAGGGGGUUUUGAAGAUAUGCAGUGUUACGGGUUUGGGUUGAUACAAAACAGUUUACCUAAACUGGCCUAGGGGACAAGAAAGACAGAACAUGCUACCUCAGGGUCAACAAGGCACCUUUCUUUGGCUAAUUCAUUCCACUUUGGGCAAUUUCGCCCCUCAGCAGUCUUUAGACCUAUUUAUCUGUUUACCUAAUUUGGUCCUUCCUUGCUCUGAAAGCAGCUUUCUGCUACAGUACCAAGUUGGGGAGCACUUCCACCCUGAAUACCUAAUCUUGUUUACUUCAUCUUGGGGGUUUUCAUCCUGACAUUCCCUAUUCCUAUACCUUUGUCCUAGACUGGGACCUUUGCCCCACUUUACCGAAUCUUGUUUACCCAAACUCGGGUGUGUACAGCCUAUGGGUUUCUAAUUCUUUAUGCCUUGUUAACCAAUCAGUGCUGGCUCAGGGAAUUCCUAAGCUUAUUCCCCACACACCUCAAAUAGUUCCUAACAUUUGCUUGCUAAUUCCUCCAAUUGCUUUUGAAGUUUUAGUCCCGGAUGUUCCAACUUGAGUGCUCUGGGUGUGUGAUCUUGUCCUUUGGGCAGCAGCCUUCUGAAAUGAGAGAAAGGAUUUUUUUAAGCUUCUCUUGGAGGAUUUUAUGAGUAGAGUCAAUCUAAACUGGG
This 1479-nucleotide long non-coding RNA is filed under the name Felis catus (domestic cat). RNAcentral's name for it is "lncRNA (ENSFCAG00000053051.1)". The record is from RNAcentral. Lineage: Eukaryota; Metazoa; Chordata; Mammalia; Carnivora; Felidae.